Long non-coding RNA from Toxorhynchites rutilus septentrionalis, 1384 nucleotides. RefSeq lists it as uncharacterized. NCBI's taxonomy places the organism in Eukaryota, Metazoa, Arthropoda, Insecta, Diptera, Culicidae. The record is from RefSeq and is a predicted model, not a curated record. The transcript is spliced from 3 exons.
ACAAUUCAAUUUUCGUUAUUACUUCGUCAUAAUAAAUAUUCGAUUAUAUUCUGGGAAACUAAACUAUAACGCAGGAUAAUUUAUAUGUGAGAUAAUUUUAUCGUACCAUAUAAGACACUCGAAAUUUUUGUAAGAAUCAUCAGGUGCUGCUUUUUGACACAGUCGCAAAAAUCGAUCUUUAAAUUGUAAUUUUUUUCCGAAUGACACACCAAAACUUGAAUUAAACUAAUUGCGUCACCUUCACACACGGUUUGCAGUUCUUAUCACCGUCGCCAACCAUCGGUUCGAUCUCUACCCGCCGUCUUGAGCUGAACCCGCUAGUCGUCGGACAUCGGUUUUCUCCUUCCCCUUCCACUCGUAGAUAUACGGGAUACGAAGAUCAUACAUUGGUGUGCGAAAAAUGACCACCAAUCGCGGGGAUAUGGUCCACGCCCGAGAGAAGCGCACGUAGCUCAGGAAAAUGCGUCCAGUUUCAUGCCAGCUUUUGUACGGGUGAGAGGAGGGGAUUAUUUGCACCACCUUCAUCACAACGCGGUGUCCGCGGUAAACUGAAUCGAGAGUGAUAGUUUUUUUGUUUCUACAUUGUGUAUUAACAUCAACGUAACAAUUUGUAUUCGUCUCAUGAACUUUUGCUAUUUUUCUGAAAGUGAUUAAUCCGUAUGCAUCGCAGAACUAGUGCAAUGCAAGCUUCAACAUGGGCGACUCAUCGUUGGCCCCAUAGACAGACUGACUGGUGUCUUGGCUGCUUAUCAGCAACGGCUCGUUGACGGCAUUUAUAUGCAAUGACGGAGUCAGCUGCUGUGUAUUAAGAUCGUGUGUUAACACUUGAAAUUAAUGCAUGAAUGUUGGUCCCACAUACGUAGUCAAAUAUAGCCGAACACAGUAUGCUCACUAACUUAUCGAGAACUCUUUUUUUUCUACAAUGUUUAUUAUUUAUUUUUUAUUACGAUGUUUAUAAUUUUUUUGUGGAUUAACUAAUCUCAGUGCAUCAAUGUUGUUCGCCGAAACAGCCCCUCAAAAACGAUACUUACGCACCAUCACCCACUAACGGCUAAACCAUAAACUACAACUGUCAGAGGUGAUGAUAAGCGAGGAAGAGGAAUGAGAAAGAAGAGUAAAACGAAGAAUUGUAAACAAUAUAUAUAUAUUUCUAAAUCUGAACGAUUAGGGGACGAGACUAGAAAACUUUGCUAAAAUAAGUACUUUUUUGGAUUCUUUAAUUUGUUACUACAAUCGGAGACUAAAUUGUAAGUUGUUUCGAUGCAUUAUUGUGAACCUUUAUUUCAUGAAGUAAAUUGUAGCUUGAAGCUGAUUAACACUCGGAAAAGAGCUGUUUUUAAUUCGCUGGGAGAACUCCGAUAAAUCUGUCUUAACAAAUUCUUCA